AUAGAGUAGAAAGAGAGGUGCGCCUACAUAUCACGCAACACGCAUUAGGUAUCACGCAUCACUCACGCGAGAACCGCGUGUUAUUCCGGAAAAUAUACACGCAUGCUGCCAGUCGCCUACGAGUAAGCGUUCAAAUGACGUUCCCAAAGUCUAACCGAUAUCAUAACCCUAACCACGCACGUGCAAAUAUUUCAAACGUUUCGAAGGUCGUUCUUGACUAUUUUUAUUAUUUUUUCUCUUUCUUCCUUGGACGACUGGUGAAACUAAUAGAAUAUAAAAAUAUAGUAAAUAUAUAUUAAAAAGUUUCACACUACAAUGUGUUGGUAUUUUAAAUUUGUCAGAUAUAUUAUGUGAAAAGCGAUAGCAACUAAAUGCUAAUAAAAAUGGCAUUGCAUUUAUAUUGACAUAUGUACAGCAAUGAAAAAAAAAACUGGCAACUAAAAUGGUUAUGGAAUCUUUUCUUGCGUGUUUGGUUUAUUUUUCUUUUUAUCAUUUUAUAUGAUAAAAAUUUUAUUACAUUAUAUCAAAGGCAAGAGAGAAUCAAAAAUAUUCCAAUGUUGAUUCAAUAACAAAUAAAUCUUUCAAUAAAUCUUUAUGAAAUUACUACCAAUAA
Apis cerana (Asiatic honeybee) is the source of this 613-nucleotide long non-coding RNA. RefSeq lists it as uncharacterized. The record is from RefSeq and is a predicted model, not a curated record. NCBI's taxonomy places the organism in Eukaryota, Metazoa, Arthropoda, Insecta, Hymenoptera, Apidae.